This 253-nucleotide ribosomal RNA is filed under the name uncultured bacterium. RNAcentral's name for it is "partial 16S ribosomal RNA". It matches the Rfam family "Bacterial small subunit ribosomal RNA", at positions 524 to 776 of the family's 1533-position model. The record is from RNAcentral.
UACGGAGGGAGCUAGCGUUAUUCGGAAUUACUGGGCGUAAAGCGCACGUAGGCGGCUUUGUAAGUUAGAGGUGAAAGCCUGGAGCUCAACUCCAGAACUGCCUUUAAGACUGCAUCGCUUGAAUCCAGGAGAGGUGAGUGGAAUUCCGAGUGUAGAGGUGAAAUUCGUAGAUAUUCGGAAGAACACCAGUGGCGAAGGCGGCUCACUGGACUGGUAUUGACGCUGAGGUGCGAAAGCGUGAGGAGCAAACAGG